CAUGCAAGUCGAACGGUAACAUAGGCACCAAUCCCGCAAGGGUGAGGAGCCUGAUGACGAGUGGCGGACGGGUGAGUAAUGCAUGGGAAUUUUCCAUUGAGUGGGGAAAAACUUGGAGAAAUCCAAGCUAAUACCGCAUAAUCUCUUCGGAGGAAAGGGGGCCUCUUCUUGAAAGCUCUCGCUCAAUGAUGAGCCCAUGUCCGAUUAGCUUGUUGGUAGGGUAAAGGCCUACCAAGGCUACGAUCGGUAGCUGGUUUGAGAGGAUGAUCAGCCACACUGGGACUGAGACACGGCCCAGACUCCUACGGGAGGCAGCAGUAGGGAAUCUUGGACAAUGGGGGAAACCCUGAUCCAGCAAUGCCGCGUGUGUGAAGAAGGUCCGAGGAUUGUAAAGCACUUUCAGCAAAGAAGAAACCAAUGGAGUUAAUAUCUCCAUAUAUGACGUUAUUUGAAGAAGAAGCACCGGCUAAUUCCGUGCCAGCAGCCGCGGUAAUACGGAAGGUGCGAGCGUUAAUCGGAGUUACUGGGCUUAAAGGGUGCGUAGGUUGUAUGGAAAGUCAGAUGUGAAAUCCUCAAGCUUAACUUGAGAACUGCAUUUGA
Molecule: ribosomal RNA, 600 nt
Filed under: uncultured Gammaproteobacteria bacterium
Lineage: Bacteria; Pseudomonadati; Pseudomonadota; Gammaproteobacteria
Description: bacterial SSU rRNA
Rfam family: Bacterial small subunit ribosomal RNA
Source: RNAcentral